GCGGCGGCGCGGGGCUGGGCGCUGUCCCCGCUGUCGCCGGGCCCGGCGGAGCGCAGCCGGCCCUACGCUGUGCUGCAGCACCAGAACCUGGUGCUGCUGGGCAGCAUCCUCAGCGCUCUCCUGCUCACCAUCAUCCUCAUGGCCAUCUGUGUCUACCGGCCCGUCCGGCGGCGGUAGCGGAGCGGGAUCCGCCGGGGCACCGAGAGAAUGCUGCAUCCCACCUGGUUCUCCCCCCUGGCAUCCACCAUCCCAGCACCGCUUCAGUCCUGCCGGUUCUCCCGUCUGGUACCCGGUACCAUCCCGGUUCCAUCCCGGCGCUGCUCCGGACCCAGCAGGUUCUCCCGUCCGGUCCCCACCGUCCUGCCGCCCCUCCCGUCAGCUGCUGGGGAUGCCCUGAGGAUGCGAGUGUGGCUUUUCACCCAUCUCUGCCCGUGCUCUAUCACAUGGCUCCAUCGUGAUGUGGCUUCCAGCAGUGGUCAGGCCGGGUGCUGGAAACCACCCCCUCCCUGAGCAAACACUCCUGGAGCUCCUGGGGGUGUGUCCGCAGCGAACCCAUCUGGCUCGGAGCGGGUCUGGAGCAACGCGCCUGCCUCCCAAAUCCCAGCGUUUUGGCGAGGCUGGUCUCACACGGUGUGCUCGACAGCAUCCCCGGGGCCUGGGUUGUCACCAGAACAGGGCGAGAUUGGGGACAUGGCCCGAGGAGCAGCUCCACGUGCUCGCUCACACCACGUCUACUUUUUGCUUUCUGAUUAAUUCAGGUCCUUGUUUGAACGCUGAGUCCUGGGGGUGGGACGGGGCUUGGAGCAACCUGGGGUAGUGGAGGGUGUCCCUGUCAUGGCAGGGAGUAGAACAGGAUGAGCUUUAAGGUCCCAUUCAAAAAUAUUCCAAAGGUAAGAGCUCAGUGACCCACUCAGCAGUGGGUGGUGGGGUCUGGUCCGUUCUUGCUUCUGAGCAGAAACACUGAUAUAUGCCCUGAUCCUGGUGUAGUUUUCCAGGGCCAGGCUUCUCCUUCCCAACUUUAUUUGCUUUAACUCUAAAGUUAAUAUUUGCUUUGGGGCUAAAAAGCCCCAAAUAGCCUCCCAUCAAAGCAGGCCUGCUGAACCUGGUGUGCAGGUGAGGGAUUCCAGCACGUGCUGGUCACUGUCCUCCUGGAAACAGGAGCCUCCAAAGGUCUGCAAGCCAGGCAGAGGCUCUGGAAGAGUUUGAGCUCCAGCCAGACCCAUUUUACGCAGUUUCAGUAACAAGCGUUUACACUGAAUCCCACUUCCAUACAAAUGCUGCUAUUUUGUUUUGCACUGCUACAAGUAGUAACUGGAUUUUACUAAUUAUUAGAUAUUUAACACAGGGGUGGUUUUGCUUAGUAAUUUAUUUAGAGUUUUAAAAUGUAACUUCCAGAAAGAUUGGCGAUGUGUUCUCAAGCCCUUGGGCUGCAUCCAACGUGUUUUCCUUUCUGUUUGAAGGACACCAAGUGCUGGAAUUGAACAGGGAUUUUCUUUCUGUCUUGUGAAAUGACAGUGAGCCUGGCCUUGAACAGAUGGAGUUGUUAAUCCAAGAGUGAGGCAGCAGGGCAGCACUGUUCUAUUGCUUUCUGCUCCUCCUAUUGCUCACUGAUUCCUGUGUUCCUGAUUUUUCUCGGUCCUUCAUCGCUGUGAAGCCUGGCCUGCAGCCCGUGCUGCUCGUGGGGGUGGAUGGUGAAGCUCCCAGCCCCAGCUCUGCAUUCUCGGGAGCAGAAUUCCUGUUUGCUCUCAUUCCUCACUCCCAGCUAUGCCUCUUUGUACAAAUAAAACGCUCAGUAAACAA
Non-coding RNA from Pseudopodoces humilis (Tibetan ground-tit), 1800 nucleotides. Lineage: Eukaryota; Metazoa; Chordata; Aves; Passeriformes; Paridae. The record is from RefSeq and is a predicted model, not a curated record.